Molecule: long non-coding RNA, 845 nt
Filed under: Amphibalanus amphitrite
Lineage: Eukaryota; Metazoa; Arthropoda; Thecostraca; Balanomorpha; Balanidae
Description: uncharacterized LOC122372687, transcript variant X2
Source: RNAcentral
GUGUUUUACCCCUCUGCGUCGAGUUUAAAAAGCAGAAUGAGGUUAUUUGAGCCGCGAUCUUGAGAGAUAUUAACACUGUGGGUUGUUAACUUACUCGGUUCAGUUUCGCGCCAAAUGCAGCGCCGCGUGGGCCUCAGUCGCCAUCUUCGUGCGAUCCAGGGAGCUCGUGUCUGUGCUGCGUCUGACGUCUUGUUGAUACGACUCAAGAUGAGCAGAAUGAAGGUCAAUCUCGAAGUCCCAGUCAGAGCUCAAGGCCUGUGAGGCAGGACUUCAUUCCUUGAUGAAUGCGGCUCAACUGCUAACAGGAUAAAAAGACACGGACCAGGGUUGGACGCUUUUUAGAAUUUCCUCUCGUGAGGCACAACGACGUGUCCGCGAAUGAUAGGUCCGCGACGCCGUCCUCCCCCUGCAUCCAGAACGCUAGUGUCACGGGUGGAGGGGAGCGAGGCUGCCAUCUCCGAAGACAACACGCCUCUGAGUGUGCGCCUCCUAGUUUGUGCGGCAAUGUUCCCCGUGUUCAAUGAGAAAAUUCAAUGCCCCAGCGCCCAGCUAGUACUGACGCAAGAGGUCUCCCAAAAGUCGUUCGGAAAGUCGUUAAAAAAUCGUUGCGCCGACCGGCUCCACAAGCUGAAGACUGCGCCAGUGAAUGCAUUUGAAACGGCACCUCUACUCUCCCAUCGCCAGGCCCAAAGACGUGUUGUUCAUAGGUGUCGUUCACACUACUAGUGUUGCUGAUCGCGGAGGACCACUGUCCACUGCUCGUCCGCCGUGGCGUUACUUCUGAUGAGGCUCAGAGCGCAUGUUUACUGUGAACAACCUGCUGAAAUAUAUAAUGAGUAAAUUUG